This 253-nucleotide ribosomal RNA is filed under the name uncultured bacterium. Its description in RNAcentral is "partial 16S ribosomal RNA". It matches the Rfam family "Bacterial small subunit ribosomal RNA", at positions 524 to 776 of the family's 1533-position model. The record is from RNAcentral.
UACGGAGGGUGCAAGCGUUGUUCGGAAUUACUGGGCGUAAAGAGUGCGUAGGCGGCUUGGCAAGUUGGAAGUGAAAUCCCGGGGCUUAACCUCGGAAUUGCUUUCAAAACUGCUUAGCUAGAGUAUGGUAGGGGAUAGUGGAAUUCCUAGUGUAGGAGUGAAAUCCGUAGAUAUUAGGAGGAACACCAGAGGCGAAGGCGACUGUCUGGGCCAUUACUGACGCUAAGGUACGAAAGCGUGGGGAGCAAACAGG